UCCCUCUCAGGGUCAUACCUGGAGAAGUUCCAGUAUUCUACCAAUCUCAACUAUGGGAGGGAGAUUCAAGCAGAGAAAUACCCAUUCCAUUCCUAGCUUGGACAGUGGCUAGUGAGUGGAAGACAAUCUGCUACAAGU
Molecule: small nucleolar RNA, 138 nt
Organism: Tachyglossus aculeatus (Australian echidna)
Lineage: Eukaryota; Metazoa; Chordata; Mammalia; Monotremata; Tachyglossidae
Source: RefSeq, a predicted model, not a curated record